RNAcentral lists this ribosomal RNA (549 nucleotides) under Triticum aestivum (bread wheat). RNAcentral describes it as "partial small subunit ribosomal RNA". Lineage: Eukaryota; Viridiplantae; Streptophyta; Magnoliopsida; Poales; Poaceae. The record is from RNAcentral.
AUGCUGCAGAAGGAUGGAGAUAUUGAUGAAGAUGUGAACCAUCGCAUCAAAGCCGGAUGGAUGAAGUGGCACCAAGCUUCUGGCAUCCUCUAUGACAAGAGAGUGCCACAAAAGCUAAAAGGCAAAUUCUACAGGACGGCGGUCCGACCCGCAAUGUUGUAUGGCGCUGAGUGUUGGCCGACUAAAAGGCGACAUGUUCAACAGUUAGGUGUGGCGGAGAUGCGCAUGUUGAGGUGGAUGUGUGGCCACACGAGGAAGGAUCGAGUCCGGAAUGAUGAUAUACGAGAUAGAGUUGGGGUAGCACCAAUUGAAGAGAAGCUUGUCCUACAUCGUCUGAGAUGGUUUGGGCAUAUUCAGUGCAGGCCUCCAGAAGCUCCAGUGCAUAGCGGACGGCUAAAGCGUGCGGGUAAUGUCAAGAGAGGUCGGGGUAGACCGAAUUUGAUAUGGGACGAAUCCGUAAAGAGAGAUACGAAGGAUUGGAGUAUCACCAAAGAACUAGCUAUGGACAUGGGUGCGUGGAAGUUUGCUAUCCAUGUGCCAGAACCAUGA